UAGUUGUAAUAUACAGAAAUUGCUAUGCCAAACCAGGAACUAUUUUGGUUACCCCAAAAUAAAAUAAUAAUAAUAAAAUCUUGGACCCGAGAUGCAAAAACUCCUAAAUGCAAUUUCCCAAGAAGGAAGUUAGCCCACCAAAAUAAUACAAAAGUAUCACCUCGAGUGAAAUUUGUACAACGAGCUCAAUAUGAAUUCAAUACAUCAACAGUACAAUAGACUUCGAUAUCGGCUAUGUAUCCCGCGUCGGAAACGCAAGGGUCUGAAACUUUCCAGUAAAUUUCCCAUGGGAAGUUCAGCCUGGGAAUUCUGGGAAUUUUGCUAAAAUUCAUUUUUUUUUUAAAGUUAGCUUAUAACAGUGAUUUGUUUUGUGUGUGGGAUGGGAUACACAAGGCAAUUCUAGAUAUUGUGGCAUAUUUUGGUUAAACUCCCCAGUUCAAGGGAACCCUCUGCAUGCACAGUGCAUUCUUCCAUCACAUGUACAGUACACUCUUCCGUCACAUGUACAGCUGAUUCUCAAGAUCUUGCGCACUAAUGAGAUGCUAUUCAGCCCACACUACUACACUGUCUGAGCAAAGGACUACAUGCUUUCUGGUAAGUUGAGAUUACAAUACUGGGCGGGGUAAAUAUAUUUUAUGACAUACAUGAUUUUUUGUUAACUAGUAAAUAGUAGCCUACAGCAAAGUGUGUUUAAAUCAUUUUUAACUUGUUAACAAGUUCUGCUAGUUAGUUUUUGUUACCACGUGGGGUUUAGCUUGCUUGAGCCUACUAACUGAGGAUUGUUAAUUCACCUGUUUCCAUACAUGUUUAAUUUUUAAACAACUCCUUUGUACGAUAAUACAUUUAUCUAAUUGCUUAACUAUUUAUCUGUGCAUGGAAUUGUGUGUGUGUAUAAGUAAAUAUAUUUAUAUAUUUUUUUAUUUACUUAUACACACUCAAUUCCAUGCACAUAUAAUUAAGUGAUUUUCUAAUCUUUACAGGAAAAUGCCACGGGCACUAUCUGAUGUGUGGAGACAUUUCGCUGCAGCUAAUGUAGAAGGAAAAGCUGUGUACAUUUGCAAAUACUGUGCCAAAUCAUAUGUGAAGAAUGUAACACAUGCAGAAUCAUCUGGCCAAAGUGCACUCACAAGAACAACCUCUGACAAAAGUCCCUCUACUUCUAUUUGAGGUGAAAAUGAUGAAUCAGACACCUUAUCGAUAGCAACAGCUCAUGGUCCUCCUGGAAUCAGAAGUUUUCCAGAAGACUCAAUGGCGGAACGUAGUAAGAGAAAUGCUGACGAAUGUCUUGCUCAAGCUGUGUAUGCAGGUUCACCUCUGAUCCUCACAGGCAAUGUGUGUUGGAAGAGAUUUCUGAAUGUUCUUCGUCCAGCGUGUACACCCCUCCAACCAGACAUGCUUUAUCUACUAAUUUAAUGGAUGCAGAGUUCAAGUGAAGGUCAAGCAAAUCAUAGUGCAAGCAGACUAUAUUGCAAUCAUCUCUGACGGGUGGUCGAAUGUUCGUGGGCAAGGAAUAAUUAACUACAUCUCCACCCCUCAACCAGUAUUCUACAAGAGCACAGACACAAGGGACAACAGACACACCGGUCUCUACAUUGCAGAUGAGCUGAAGUCAGUCAUCAAUGACCUUGGAUAACCGAAGAUCAUUGGGACGCUAGCUUCCCACCUCGACAACAACAGACCGAUUUAAUCGAAAAAAAGACCCAAUAGUGAUUAUGGGACAUCUAGGUGUGCCAACAAAGAAGAUGGUCAAAGGGCAAUUGAACUGAUUCCAGAGACUGACCCAAAACACCGCUGGCGGAGGAGGGGUAGUCGACUUCUAGUCCGACUCGGGAGGCGAGCACACCGCCCACCGCUUCUGAGUAUAUUACUCAGUUUUGUUAAGUGUCUGGAUAAUAAAGUUGACGAUACUCUGUUUCAUGAAAACAUGGCUCUCUCAGUUCAUCGUGAAGAGAGGA
Molecule: long non-coding RNA, 1955 nt
Organism: Oncorhynchus keta (chum salmon)
Lineage: Eukaryota; Metazoa; Chordata; Actinopteri; Salmoniformes; Salmonidae
Exons: 3
Source: RefSeq, a predicted model, not a curated record